GAUGAACGCUGGCGGCGUGCUUAACACAUGCAAGUCGAGCGAAGCGAUUUUAAGGAAGCCUUCGGGUGGAAUUAAAAUUGACUUAGCGGCGGACGGGUGAGUAACGCGUGGGUAACCUGCCUCAUACAGGGGGAUAACAGUUAGAAAUGACUGCUAAUACCGCAUAAGCGCACAAUGCUGCAUAGCACAGAGUGAAAAACUCCGGUGGUAUGAGAUGGACCCGCGUCUGAUUAGGUAGUUGGUGAGGUAACGGCCCACCAAGCCGACGAUCAGUAGCCGACCUGAGAGGGUGACCGGCCACAUUGGGACUGAGACACGGCCCAAACUCCUACGGGAGGCAGCAGUGGGGAAUAUUGGACAAUGGGGGAAACCCUGAUCCAGCGACGCCGCGUGACUGAAGAAGUAUUUCGGUAUGUAAAGGUCUAUCAGCAGGGAAGAAAAUGACGGUACCUGACUAAGAAGCCCCGGCUAACUACGUGCCAGCAGCCGCGGUAA
Molecule: ribosomal RNA, 495 nt
Filed under: uncultured bacterium
Lineage: Bacteria
Description: partial 16S ribosomal RNA
Rfam family: Bacterial small subunit ribosomal RNA
Source: RNAcentral